This is a long non-coding RNA of Sapajus apella (tufted capuchin), 4428 nucleotides long. RefSeq lists it as uncharacterized. NCBI's taxonomy places the organism in Eukaryota, Metazoa, Chordata, Mammalia, Primates, Cebidae. The record is from RefSeq and is a predicted model, not a curated record. The transcript has 3 exons.
AAAGAAAUAUAUGUAAGUCACUAAACCUUUUAAAGGAAGAUAAUUAGAAAAUAAUUAUCAAGCUGUUUUGACCAAAAUUCAGAUUCUACUUCAACAAAUUCCAAGGUAUUGCCCAGAUUAUUUUUUACAUUUAAAGCAUGGCAAAACUUAUACUACAUAAUUAAUUGUGUUCUUUCAUUUGUUGAUAAUGUCUUAGAAGGGUAAUAGAAAAAAACAUUUUGAGAAUUUCUCUUUCUCUGUAUCAUCAAAUAUGCAGUUUGUCAUUGUUUAUUCUCAGUCAUUUCCAUUCCCAAUUUAAGUGUUGGAUAUGAUAACCAGCUGAAUUGAAGGCCUGAUUCUAUGAAUAGCAAUUUUAAGAAAGGAUUUGGGAGAUAGGGGUGGGUAACUGAACUUGGUAAUAACAAUAAAAUGAUCCCAAGCAAAAGCUAUUGCAUGAGCAUAGCCUGUACAAUUAAUAGUGACACUUCAGCAGCAGCAGAGCCACUGCAAAAGUCAUACCAUCAUUUCCCAUUUUACAUUUCUCUCCAAGAUUUCCCAGAGAAAUGCCAUCAAAAGCACAAAUACUAUUGGUAGGAUUCCAAACUCUAAGAAACAUCUUAAUUCAGAAGAUGUUAAAACAUCAAAAUAGAGAGGAAAAUGUUGGCAUGAUUACUAUUUAUGACUAGCUUCUGCUCUCUGCACUGAAGAUCUUAGCUAUUUCCUUCAUUUUACAGUUGAGAUUUAGAAAAAGUACAUAGGAAGUACAUAGUAAAGCUUUAUCUCUGCAUAUUUUUGCAAUUUGGAAGGACAAAUAGAAACAACACUAGGACUUGAUACGUUUAGUCAUACUCUGUAUUGUAGACUCGGAAAGGAAAAAACACGAGCUGUUUUCCCUUCACUCUCACGUCACAACAAUCAACACAGGAGACUUCUGUGACCAAAUGUGUGGCAGUUUCUCCACUCCAACUAGCAAUAAAUAAUCAGUCAAUUCUGCAGUGGGCACCAGCUGGGUGUCCUCCAGUUUAAUUCCAACACAACCUGGCUGGAGAUAUCAUCAGAUCCCACAGCUUAAAGGCUCAGUCCCACAAGACCACCCUUCAUUUCACAUGGUAGUCAAAAGCCCUUCGUUGCUUUACCAGUGCUUUUCACCAAUGGGCUAUAAAUUGGGGUUCCCUGACCCUUUCUUGUGUUCAAUGCAUUUGCUAGAGUAGCUCAGAGAACUCAGGAAAAGAGGUUAAUCGGUUUGUUGUGAAGGAUAUUACAAAGAGUACAGAUGAAAAGAUGCAUAAGGAAAGGUAUGAGGCAAAGGAUGUGGCACGCCCAUGCCCUCCCUGGGAACACCACCCUCCAGGAAUCUCCACACAUUCGGCUAUCCAGAAGUUGUCAGAACCUAGUUUUUUUGUGCUUACAGAGGCUUCAUUACAAAGGCAUGACUGAUUAAACCAUUGGUCAUUGGUGAACUACUUAACUUUCAGCCUCUCUCCCAUCCGUGGAGGUUGGGAGGUCAGACAGAAAAUCCCAACCUUCUAAUUCUGCACUCAUCAUCUUUUGGUGACCAGUCACCAUCCUGAAGUGACCUAGGGGCUGUCAGCCUUCAGUCAAAUCAUUAGAAUAUGAAAAGAUAUUAUUUUGGAGACUCUAAGCAUUUUAGAAUUGUAUGCCAGGAAAUGGUGUCAAAGACCAAAUAUAUAUUUUAUAAUAUCACAGACACAUGCAUAGAUUGUUCAGUUUCUUCUAAGUGAAGUUGAAAAGUGUUUCAACCUAAAUUGCCCUAUUCUUUCCUUCUAUGGUUCCUUCCUAUAAUUCUGUCUAAUGUAAUUUAGAAGAACAUUGAGGGGAAACAACUUUUACUUGAUCGGAGGAUUAACUAUUCACUUCCCAAGGGUUCAACUGAAAGACCCUCCAAUCAGACUAACCUGUAUCUGCAACUCUCCUGAUGAGCUCUGAGCCUUCUCAGUGCUACAAAUACUUAUAUCAGGCAGAGGUGGGUUGGGAUCUAAUUUAAAUUUACCCAUCCUAAUAUGAGUAAGAUAAUUCUAUUAUAUUCAUCCUAGAGAAUAUAUCCUUCAUAGAAAUAUAGGAAGAAAGAGCUUGAAUUUGGUUAGGAAUAUAGAUUAUGAACAGCCUCCUUAUCCUGAAAGCUGAGAUAAUACCUGUGUCAUGUGGUAACAAAAAAUAAGAUUAUUUGUAUAAAGAAGUUAGCUUGUAGCAAAGUUUAUAGUAAAGUGCUUCAAAAUGGCAGCAAGGAAAGGAAUAUUGAAGGAAAAUUUUAAAAGACAUUAGGUCAGUUGGUAUCUGUUUUUAGCAAGUAAACAAACAAAAUAUACUUUCUCUUUUCUGCCAAUAAAUAGGUUAGGAAGCAGCUGGAAGGCAACAUCGUCUGGCUUCUAGGAGGUCACACCUUCAAUGAGUUAUUAUUUUAUUGCUCCUUGGGAGCCUCCACUGAACGUGGUGUUCUGUCACUUCUGAAAUUCUGGGGAGUUCUUUUCAAGAUAGAAAAUUGACAACUAGUGCUUUUUAAAUCAUAGAAGGUAGUGCUUGUUGACCCAACAUGCGAUCCAAAGUGGUUAUAAAGUCUUUCGCAAGUGUACUAAAAAUGCCUGCCACCUUCCCGUUUCCACCCCUCCACACACAGCUUCUUGUAAAUACCCCCUCCACACAUACCCCACCAUACACGGUGUUCUCUCUGCUAAGAAGGAAACUGUAUACAGACGACAUGACCUCACCUCACCUUCAUUCUCCUCCAUGCCCAAAGCUGAGACUGUGGUGGCCAGUCAUUUGUAAGCUGUCCAGGCACCUUUGGCAUGGCCUUGUUUGAAAAGGUAAGAGAUUAUUUUUGGGGAAUUUUGUAGGAAGGGAAUAAAGCAAUGAGCAGUGAAGUUGAAAGUUUAUGCUCCAGACAGAGACUAAGAUAACCAUCAUGGAGAACGAUUUAAGCUUGUGGGAAAAUAGAAAGUAUGACUAUGAAUAGGUAUGAUCUAUAACAUAAAGACAGAUGAUUUAUAAUGUAGAAAAAAUAUUACAGAUUAGAAGUGAAAAAACCAAACAGAAGAGAUAAGGGAGUGAAGUAGAUUUCUGUGUAGGUAGAGAGUUUAGUAUAACGUAGAAUAUGGAAUCCUUCCAUGUUCUCCAUCAUAAAAUUCAAAGAAACCUCAUGACUUACUCAAGAUGCCUGUAGGAGCAGGAGAUGCCAUUGUGUUUUGCCCAAACAUUUGUUCAUCAAUUUUUUUUCUUUAAUGAAUGUGUGCAUUUUCUAAAAUGAAUAUCAAAGAAUGCUUCAUUUGUUUAUGUAUUUAAAAUAUGUAUUGACUACCAAAGAUAUAUAACAACCUCUGCUACACUCAAUCCUAGGUCCAGUGCAUGCACUUGGAAUCCAAGGACCCUACUUGGAAGGGCUGACAGUUUUAUGUUAGGAAACAGCUAAGGAAGUGUAUUUAUGGAGCACAUGUGAGAUUUCAUUACAUGCAUAGAAUGUGUAAUGAUCAACUCAGGGUAUUUGAGAUGUCCACUACUUUGACUAUGUGUCAUUUUGAUGUGUUAGAUGCUGUGACACUGAUAAAGACAGGAUAUGUAAAUGUGGGAGCUCAACGGAGGAACAUCUAGCUCCAACAGUUUGCUAGUUGUGGGGAAGAAAGGUUCUAUGGAUAACAUGCUCAUUACAGACACUCUGAAACUGAGGAGAACCAGGGUUCUUCCUGCAUGUUUAUGUUGAAUGUGAAGAAGGUAAGAUUACUGCUUCUGUUAUACUGUGGAGCUCCUCAUUAGGUCUAGCCAAUGUGGUUAGCUAUACUGUGUCUUCUACCACCACACAUACACAGAAAACCUUGGUAGCAAACACAGAAUGAACUUCCUUGAAAGUAGAGAAACAUUCUUUGGCUAAGGUAUGUGAGAAUAAGAAUGAAUGAUGCAAACAUUGGCAGAAAUGCUGAUGGAAGAACUGAUGGAUGCAGAUCUAUUUCAGAGACCCCUUAACUGUCAGGGAACAUGAAUUGUCUGGCUGGCUGAAUUGAGUCUAGAAAUGAUGCUCUCUGGCUGCUAAGUAUAUAUAUUUGACCAAAAGGUGUGUGAGGGCAGUGUCCAUUUCAUUACUUGCCCUGAGUCCUCAGGGCUUACCAGAAUACCAGGCAGAUACAUGCUUCAAAAGCCUGUGUUGAAUGAAUGAGAAAAUGAAUAGAAUAAUAUUUUCAUGAGUAGCCAUGGAUUGAGGUUAAAAUUAAUAAGAAGAGCCCCCAAGAGGUCUUGAUUGAGCCUUAUGCUUUGGGUCACUCUUCUGCUCAGCUGUGUGGAAUAAUUUGCAGCACUAGAAAUGGACUUAACAACUAGGAUGAGGGGGUUUUGUUUUUGGAUCAAACGUUUUUUCAUCAUGAAACUACUGGGUGGCCUCUGACAUGAUGUGUUUAGUUAUCAAACACGUCAGUUAAUACCAUGGAGAGAACACAUGUAUUAAAA